UCGCACGAGAGAGGGGAGCAAUCCCUGAGUAAAGUGGCGUACGGGUGAGUAACACGUGGAUCAUCUACCUUUUAGUGGGGAAUACCCCCGGGAAACUGGGGACAAUACCGCAUAAGCUCGUGAGAGGAAAGCAGCAAUGCGCUGAAAGAGGAGUCCGCGGCUGAUUAGCUAGUUGGUGAGGUAACGGCCCACCAAGGCGAAGAUCGGUAGCCGGCCUGAGAGGGCACACGGCCACACUGGCACUGAAAUACGGGCCAGACUCCUACGGGAGGCAGCAGUGGGGAAUCUUGCACAAUGGAGGAAACUCUGAUGCAGCGACGCCGCGUGAACGAUGAAGCCCUUCGGGGUGUAAAGUUCUUUCGACGGGAACGAUAAUGACGGUACCCGAAGAAGAAGCUGCGGCUAACUACGUGCCAGCAGCCGCGGUAAUACGUAGGCAGCAAGCGUUGUUCGGAAUUACUGGGCGUAAAGAGUGCGUAGGCGGUGCUCUAAGUCUGUUGUGAAAUCUCCCGGCUUAACUGGGAGGGUGCAGCGGAAACUGGAGUGCUUGAGGGUGGGAGAGGUAAGCGGAAUUCCUGGUGUAGCGGUGAAAUGCGUAGAUAUCAGGAGGAACACCUGUGGUGUAGACAGCUUACUGGACCACUUCUGACGCUGAGGCACGAAAGCGUGGGUAGCAAACAGGAUUAGAUACCCUGGUAGUCCACGCCCUAAACGAUGCAUACUUGGUGUGAGCCAUU
This 737-nucleotide ribosomal RNA is filed under the name uncultured bacterium. RNAcentral's name for it is "bacterial SSU rRNA". It matches the Rfam family "Bacterial small subunit ribosomal RNA", at positions 62 to 831 of the family's 1533-position model. The record is from RNAcentral.